CCUACGGGAGGCAGCAGUGAGGAAUAUUGGUCAAUGGCCGUAAGGCUGAACCAGCCAAGUCGCGUGAAGGAAGAAGGAUCUAUGGUUUGUAAACUUCUUUUAUAGGGGAAUAAAGGUAUCCACGUGUGGAUAGUUGCAUGUACCCUAUGAAUAAGCAUCGGCUAACUCCGUGCCAGCAGCCGCGGUAAUACGGAGGAUGCGAGCGUUAUCCGGAUUUAUUGGGUUUAAAGGGUGCGUAGGCUGUUUUUUAAGUCAGCGGUGAAAUUUUGUGGCCUAACCGUAACAUUGCAAUUGAUACUGGCGGCCUAGAGUACAGUCGAGGUAGGCGGAAUAAGUUGAGUAGCGGUGAAAUGCUUAGAUAUCACGAAGAACACCGAUAGCGAAGGCAGCUUACCAAACUGCCUCUGACAUUGAUGCACGAAAGUGUGGGUAUCAAACAGGAUUAGAUACCCGAGUAGUC
Molecule: ribosomal RNA, 460 nt
Filed under: uncultured bacterium
Lineage: Bacteria
Description: partial 16S ribosomal RNA
Rfam family: Bacterial small subunit ribosomal RNA
Source: RNAcentral